Molecule: long non-coding RNA, 540 nt
Organism: Ananas comosus (pineapple)
Lineage: Eukaryota; Viridiplantae; Streptophyta; Magnoliopsida; Poales; Bromeliaceae
Exons: 2
Source: RefSeq, a predicted model, not a curated record
UUCUGAUAAAGUGAUACAAUAUUAAAUGAUACAAUGUGUCAUAGUUUUUUGGCUCUUUUGUUGUUCUCUUUUUAUUGGUGCCAUAUGCUUCAUGAGUUGUGGUAAAUUAUUAAGUGCAAUAGAUUGGGGAGCCACCAUCUUAAUUACUACUUGUAUACGAAAUGGAGAUGCAUGUAUUAAAUUGCAUUUCGAGUCUGAUAAUCUGUCACCUUUAAAAUGUCUUGCCCAUUGUUGGAUAAUGUUUUUUUUAAGAUGAAAUGAUUAUCUAACACUAGAAAAUUCGUUUAGGUUUCAGACGCAUCUAGCGCUCGUAAUAUGCAUCAAUAAUCUCGUUGCCCUUCAGGUUCAACAUCUUAAUUGCCGAGCUCACUAAGACUGGAUCUGAUAUGAUAUUAUUAGUUUUUGUUUUUAUUUCUCUUUCUCUAGGGUUAAAAAGCUAGAAAUUGUUGGUACUGUGAUUUAGUGACUAAAUACUCAUUUAAAGAUAUAUGGAUAGUACUGUGAGACAUUUUGGUAUAUAUGACUACAAAACUUCUUUUA